This 131-nucleotide ribosomal RNA is filed under the name Cladosporium ramotenellum. RNAcentral's name for it is "partial 18S ribosomal RNA". It matches the Rfam family "Eukaryotic small subunit ribosomal RNA", at positions 1702 to 1830 of the family's 1831-position model. The record is from RNAcentral. Lineage: Eukaryota; Fungi; Ascomycota; Dothideomycetes; Cladosporiales; Cladosporiaceae.
UGAGGCCUUCGGACUGGCCCAGGGAGGUCGGCAACGACCACCCAGGGCCGGAAAGUUGGUCAAACCCGGUCAUUUAGAGGAAGUAAAAGUCGUAACAAGGUCUCCGUAGGUGAACCUGCGGAGGGAUCAUU